Silurus meridionalis is the source of this 3917-nucleotide long non-coding RNA. RefSeq lists it as uncharacterized. The transcript has 4 exons. Lineage: Eukaryota; Metazoa; Chordata; Actinopteri; Siluriformes; Siluridae. The record is from RefSeq and is a predicted model, not a curated record.
AGACAGUAAUGUGUUAGCAUGUUACCCACACACACACACACACACACACACACAGAUGUUUACCGCUUUAUUAGCACUAAUGUUGCACAUGCUCAUCGUCUUACCUAACUGACAAACACCUUCCCAGAACCUUGAUUCCGACUAACACACACACACACACACACGCGCACACACACACACACACACACACACCUGCACUCGGACACCACUGAGCUAAUCAACACGCUUGUAGAGUGCAGUCCACUAAUCACGGCGAAUCACUCCAACGUGUCUGAUUGCGAAGGAGAAAAAGAAAGACUUGUUAUUUGUGCUGUUAACUGACGCCUGGUUUGGAGAGGAACAGCGAGAGAGCAGCUCUGAACUCCAGCAGACCAGCGAGCGGUUACGUGUGGAGAGCUGGAUUCUGCUCAGAGGGGCCGAGUGCCAGUCAAGGAAUGGUGGUGUUGCGUAAUGCUUGUUAAGGAAGUGGAAAUAGAGGUGUACGAUCCAGCAGAGAAAAACGGAGCUUCACGUUACACUGCGCUGCCAACCUCAAGACAUGACGGAAUAAAGACAUUUGCUGCUGCUCCAUGUUCCCCAGCGCUAGCAUCACCAGCAACUUCUCACAUCCCUCAAUAAUUCAUCACCUCGCCUCUGACAUCCAUGAAGACCAUAAAACAUCUCGAGCCAGGCCUGACACAUCUCUGACACAUUUACAAUCUCCUGAUGUUAGCCUCAGUAGGUAAGACACGGAUCCUAUGAAAGGACAACUCCAUAUGUGGUGAGAUCCCGUUGGCAUGAUGACUAAAGCUAAGAGGAGAUCUGGUGACUUGGAAAAUAGCUAUCAACAAAAAUCCAUGCCGAUAGUUUUUCCAGCUUCCGGUUCGCUGUCAAUACGAGAGCGGCCUCUAGAGGCGAAUCACUGGCACCAAAUGCUGUUUGUUUUUACAAACAGACCAUCCCCUUUAAAGAAAAGAACGUGGCCCUCUCAGAAAAAAAGUUUGGGGACCCUGGUAUCGAAGUUUGGGUUUCCCUGUUGCGGAACCAGCACAACCUACAUUCAGAUCAGUGUAUACUGGCAUUCUCUCUCUCUCUCUCUCUCUCUCUCUCUCUCUCUCUCUCUCUCUCUCUCUCUCUCUCUCUCUCUCUCUCUCUCUCUGUGCAGAGCUGCUGGAAGCCUCAAGUUUAACUUGGUUACACCUGGAGAUAAACGUGUGCUUUUCUGACCUUUCCUUUACUGACUUAAUUAAAAACUCAUUAGGGUUUAUAAACCUGAAAAUGCAAGAAAUGGAUUCAGGUUCAUCGUGAUGGAUUACGUAACAGGAGGUGAAUUGAGAUGCUUUCUCAGUAGGCAUGUAGGAAUAUUGGGUUUAGAGACUUCACAACAAAUCACAACUACUCACAUCAGUGAAUUGAGUUCUGGAUUACAGCUGCACAUGCAUCUGUACAUCAUGCUAAUCUUGAACUGUUAUCAGUGGUGGAUCAGUGGGUAAGUCUCUACGUGUGUGAUCAGAAGGUUGUAAGUUCUGCUCCAUUAUAUCGUAACUCCAGCACCAUCACAAGCUGGGAUAUGCAAAGAAAAUCUAAAUUAUUCUACUUGUAACAAAGGUUUUUCUACAAUAGCUGUUUAUAUGUUGUCUGAAAUUGCUUUAUUGUAAAUAAACGUCAAAUUUGUCAAGUUAAGAUGUUAAACUUCGGAUCAGAAGUAGGUAGGUUAAAUCCAAGCGCAGCCACGCUGCCAAUGCUGAGUCCUUGAGCUUAAACGAGAUAACCAUAAGUUUAUAAAGGAUAAAAGGAUAAAACCGUCUGCCAAAUGCCAUAGAUGGAAAUGUAACCUUUAUGAAAGAUUAGCAGAUUUCAGGCUCCCCUGCACGAUCCUGAGGAAUUUCGCAUCUUUACACACCCAUGUGAAAGUAAAUGUCAGCUUGUUGUAGCAUGUACAGCUUCACUGCACAAUUGCUUUGGAUCAAAGCUCAAGAUGUACAGUAUUCCCACCUUGUUCCCAGCAUUACCAGGACUGGCUCUGGAUCUACACCCCUACCUUAACCAAGUGCUUACUGAAGAUGAAUAAAUAGAACAGAAGACAGAUCUGCUGGAUAAACACUGUGUGAUCUGACAAGCUGGUUGUCCAGUCCUCCAUUGAGACUCUGUUCCCUGCUCAUUCAGGUCCAUGGUGUCACACCUCAUUACUAUUUUGCAGUAAAGAGUAUUUGCUCCUCAGCUAUUUUGCAAGGAGGUUCCUGUGGUUGGAAACCUGAAUGUGAGUGCAAGCGUGCUGUUAGUGCCCAGGUUCAGUGACACAAGGUAUCACUUGGUCUUAUGUCAUUUCGAGAUUUUAUUGCCAAGGAAGUUAGAGAUCUCUCGACUUUGUGACAGAUUCAUAGCUCCGGGUUCCUUGGUUCAAUGUUCUCUGGUUUACUUUCAUUUCUGAUGAUGCGAUAUUACCGCUAGGACCAAUAUUUUCAAUAUUACCUUACACACAGAAUUCCUGGGAUAGGAUCUGAAGUAGAGCCUUGGGAGUAGACCAUAACUUACUACAGUAGGUUAUAUUUGACAGGGUUUUUGGACUACAGAGCAGUUUAUGAAACCUUCAACCAGCUAAUAUGCUUUUCCUAUUUCUUUUUCUCUAAGGCUUAUCAUGAACAAAAAAACAGUUUCCAUGUGAUUUUUUUGGAAAAGAGCAUGGGAUGUUGUGAUGUCUGACAGGCCAAAAAUAAGGCAAAAGCAGCUGUCUAAAAUUCUGAAUACUUCAACACCGUAUGCUAUAUUUGUGCAAAACAGCAUUUAAUGGAACAGAAGAAAGGGUUCUGUGCUUCAUUAGUGGGAAUUGCACCAACGAGGAGGAACCUGAACCAUGAUAUGAAACGCAGAAAUAUCAGUCGACCACUACAGUUUGUUAAGUGUGUACAGCAGAUGAGUGAAGAGGUGUUGAAGAAGAAAAGAAAUCAUCAGUCUAAUGCAGAGUUGGUGUUUCGUCCAUCAGGUCUGACGAGGAAGUGUUUGAGGAUGAUUUUGGAAACGUGAGUACACAAUCGAUUGUAGUGUUUUUCAAAACACAUUUUGAAGCAUAUCGUUUAAACAAAAUGAAACAAUGUUACCUUUUAACAGAUAUUUAAACGUUUGGAAAAAAUGCUUUAUAUAAAAGCAACCAGCUCCAGCACCAUCUCCACCAUCUCCACCAUCUCCAUCUCCUUCCUCUUAAACCAGUAGAGCAGAAUCUGCUCUUUCACUGCAAAUCCUCUUAGGAUGUGUUUAAGCAAAUAGCACAAUCUAAAAAACUAAAUCCUGACAAACAAGGCGGCAAAAAACAACGGACCAACAUCGACGGAAAUAAUCUGCGCUCUCGUCGCCAUUACUCAUUUGUCUUUACAGGUAGCUGGUGAAGUGUUUUCCCCUCGGGCCGGAUCAAUAGCAGCCCUGCGUGCUUAGAUGUUUUGCCCUGAAAAAAAUAAAAUCGAUACAGAUGAAUAAGUAGCGGAACGAGCCGAGCUCUGGGGCUUAUUCUGCAGGACCAGGUGGGGGGUUUGCGGUCUUGCUGAGGGAUAAUCCACAGCAUGCUGGUGUGAGAUGGUGUGAGGUCUAUAAUGGGUCAUCAGGGGGUUAGCGAGGCACGGGGGCGAAACAGGAGUUCUGUCAGGUUGCAUUUCCCCGUAAUGCAGAUUAGUGGCAAAACCAGAGCAAAAGCACCAGGAAUCUCUGAUAUCUCUGUGAUAUGAGACGAGAUAUGAGAUCCUGCUGGUCAGACGGAACUCUGGAAUCAUUUUAGCUAAAGGUUUGUACAGCUUUUAAUUAAAGGCUUGAGGUUUGACAGGGUCUUUGUUGUGGGCGUGGCCUGUCCAGCUUUUUGUGAUUUGUUAGUAGGAGCUCUACCACGAAUCAAAUAGUUAGUUUUUAAAAUGGAUAGUGGAUAAAAAACAAACACUCCAUGUUAAAUAUUA